UGCACAAUGGGCGCAAGCCUGAUGCAGCGACGCCGCGUGAGGGAUGACGGCCUUCGGGUUGUAAACCUCUGUUAGCAUCGAAGAAGCGAAAGUGACGGUAGGUGCAGAGAAAGCGCCGGCUAACUACGUGCCAGCAGCCGCGGUAAUACGUAGGGCGCGAGCGUUGUCCGGAAUUAUUGGGCGUAAAGAGCUUGUAGGCGGUUGGUCGCGUCUGCUGUGAAAGGCUGGGGCUUAACCCUGGUUUUGCAGUGGGUACGGGCUAACUAGAGUGCAGUAGGGGAGACUGGAAUUCCUGGUGUAGCGGUGGAAUGCGCAGAUAUCAGGAGGAACACCGAUGGCGAAGGCAGGUCUCUGGGCUGUAACUGACGCUGAGAAGCGAAAGCAUGGGGAGCGAACAGGAUUAGAUACCCUGGUAGUCCAUGCCGUUAAACGUUGGGGCACUAGUGUGGGGGACAUUCCACCGUUUUCCGCGCCGUAGCUA
Molecule: ribosomal RNA, 481 nt
Filed under: Rothia dentocariosa
Lineage: Bacteria; Bacillati; Actinomycetota; Actinomycetes; Micrococcales; Micrococcaceae
Description: bacterial SSU rRNA
Rfam family: Bacterial small subunit ribosomal RNA
Source: RNAcentral